RNAcentral lists this non-coding RNA (61 nucleotides) under Brenneria goodwinii. RNAcentral's name for it is "Fluoride sequence". It matches the Rfam family "Fluoride riboswitch aptamer (crcB RNA motif)". The record is from Rfam by way of RNAcentral. Lineage: Bacteria; Pseudomonadati; Pseudomonadota; Gammaproteobacteria; Enterobacterales; Pectobacteriaceae.
GUGCAAAACGGAGAUGACAUUCCUCCAUAACCGCCAUUCGGCUGAUGAUGUCUAUGCACUU